GGGCUCACAGGAAUAAUGUUGAGAAUGCCUAUUUCACUAUGUGAAUAAUGUUUUCAAACUCAGAUUCCUAAACACAGCCUUUUUUUUUUUUUUUUUUGGUGCCAGGGAUUGAACUCGGGGCCUUGUGCUUGUGAGGAAGGCAGGCAGCGGAACCACUGAGCUAAAGCCUCUGCCCCAACACAGCCUAUUCUUAAAGACAUACAGCACACAUAUUUGGAGUUCCAGUGGGCUUUUAUUGAGAUAAAUUAACAAAAAUCAAGAUUUUUCCAACCAUUUUUCUGAACCUUAUAAAACUCAGCAGACUCUGGUCCACAUACACGUACAUACAACAUAACACAUCCCUACAAAAACAGAGCCCCACUGGAACACUUGCCAAUUAACAGAAAGCCAAUUUUCUCUUUUCCUAAAUGUUUUCAAAAUUUUGAGUUCCCACUGUUCACUUCUCAGUGGAACUGGUCCCUUGUGGCUAGGGACACUGGAAUUUUCUCCCGUUUUUAAUGAACAAAAAUUACAUUUUUUAAAGUUUGUUUUGUUUCAAAAAAAAGGGAAGUAACUUUGUUUUCUCCAGGCACCCCUCCCCAACAACCACUGGUUAAAAUACAGGAGCCUGUAUCUUAACAACCCAGCCCUACCCCUCCCUUGCCCUGCCCAGCAUCAGCUACUGGAGAAUUUAAAUACACUUCUGUUAGAAUCUGUCAGUUAUGGAGGGGCAGAGUCCAGGUGCCAGGCUAGCUCCCUCUGACCUCAUGAACUCUGACAACCUUUGGACACUUAACUCUUUACCCUAAAGAUGAGUUUUAGGAUGAGAGAAGAGUUUAGAUUUUCCUUUGGAGUAAAGAAAAAAAACAAAACAAAACAAAAAACCCUUUAUGAAUAUAAAGUACAAGGUCUCGAAAGUCCACCUAAGUUCACCAAAAAGCUGACUUAUUUUAGUUCCUAUGAGGUCAAUAAUUUUGCCUGACAAAGCUAUUUGGCAAGAAAAUGAUUCCACAGUAACAAUUUUAAAGAUACAUAUGACAAUUGAAAAAAACACAGCAAAUUAAAAUAACAUGGCUUAAUUCCCAAGAACUUAUCUUUUUGUUACUCAUCUAGUAGGUCAGGAGUGUGGCUAAAGGCAGUUUCUGAUGAGGUUAUUAUGAGCUUCCAAAGUGUUUCUAAAUCCUUAGUGCAGACACCCUCCCUUUUGGGGACAUGGUACCCUCCCUCCCACCCGUUAUUUAAAAAAAAAAAAAUUAAAUCAAGUGAUCAGAAUGAGAUGUUUUGAUUCCAACAAUCUACACUCAAGGCUUUGUGCUGAGUCAUCUUGUUCUAACCCAGUAUGAUGGUAUCAAACACAAAGCAAGUGACUAGGGAAAGAUGCUCCCAUCUCAUUCUGAAAAUCAAUACUGAUAACCACCCACCCCACCCCAACAUUUUUGGGCCAACCCUAUGUUCAUCAAUGCUGGGACCAACUUGAAAAUAAUUCCGAAAUAUAUUUAGGUUUUCCUCUUUCUUACUUCUUCCUGAGAACAAUCUUUUAGGAUAAACUUAUUCCACUCUCAAGUAAAGGCAAUAGCUUCUUUCACCUUCAGAACAUGAGUUGGAUAUAGUUUUACUAUAGGGACUAUUUCUUAUCUAAAUGAACCACUGGAAAAAAUAUAUAUAACCAUUACUUAGAAACAAAUCCAAUAUUAGAAUCUAAAGACAAUUUCCAAAAGUAACAAUUCUUAUUUUGAGGGAUAAAAAAAAAAAAAAAAAAAAGACUAGGCUUGACCUAGUCAUUAGAGCAUCUUUCCUUUAACAAUUCCUAUUUGAGUCAAGCACCAAAACUGGACAGCUGCCUCAUUAAAGGAUAGUGUCCAAUCCUGGCAUCCCAGAUAGUUUUAAGUGCCACUCCUCAUCAGAGGCUGUACUUCAGUAAUACUUUCAAUUUUAAGUCUGUGCUUUAAGAGGGACCCAACAGGCAUGUGGCACCAGGCAGAGCAGUCUAAGGUUGACAAGGAGACUGCACUUUUUGUUUAGUCGCCCAUUUUCUAGCGAGAUAUACAAUUACAUUUAUACUCCUUGCUUUUACAAGAAUGAUCCCUCUUCUCUCGCUAGAAGUGGGGGAGAAAGCUGCAUCAGUACAAGGGCAAGAUUUGUUGGUUAAAAGAUGACACCUUUUAAGUCCCCACCCUUACCCCUCCCUGGAAAAAAGAUAAAAUUUAAUGUCCUUAAUUAGGAUUUGUGUUUAGUAACCAACACUGGGUAAGUUGAGUUGGAUUCCAAAGAAAUAACCUUGCUCUUUUUAGGGUUUGUACUAUGCAGCUCUUUCUACAGUUAAAGAGUCAGGGCUAUGUCAUGUCUGAUCAGGAGACAUCUGUAGGAUUUUGAUCCUCAAGGAAUUUUGGGUAACUUGCAAAUAGUUUUACUUAGAACUAGGCAGAGUCAAAAAAGCAACUUCAAAUAAUUGAUUUCUUUAUCCAGAUGAGUUAAGCAUGAAAGCAUAUGCAGGGUUUAUCUUGUAAUAUUUUAGGGUUUUGAGAAAGGACAGAAUAUGGAAAUCAAUUUUUUUUUAAUUUUAUGUUUUGCUUUUUUUUUCCUAGAUGACUCCUGAUUGACCUAGUACAGUGGGUUAAAAGGGAAUUAAAAACAUUAAAAAAAAAAAGUUCACUGGUUUUGAUUCAUCUCACGCCUUUUGCCUGGAGAUCAGGCCAAACAUCAAGCAUGUUGGGAGGGGCACAAUUUAAAGCAACACUAUUGACUGUUAAGCAUUUGCCAGCAAUUUACAAUGCGAAAUGACAGGUAAAGAUUCUUGUCAACAACGCAAGAGGAUGGCAAGCAGCUUUCUGUAGCAUGAAAGUUAACAGCUCUUGGGUUGCCCAUGCCUGCAAGUUUACAUGGGCAGAGGGCAACACACUUGUAACACUACAGGAGAUGACCCACAGAAAAUUAAGUUCCAGAACUGCUAACACUGCCAAAGCUGGUACUGGCUAAGUAUUCUGAAAUGCAAAUUCAUGCUUUAUACAUAUUCUACUCAAAGAUGCUGCCACUCAACUGAAUUCUCAUACUGCAAAGUAGAUUAAUCUUUGCUCCCUUCUGCAGUUUGAAAGUUGCUCUUUUAGAAAGGGAAAUGCAAAAUCAGAGAGCUUCUUAAAAAUUCAUCUUGAUUAUAGAUUUUUAAAGCUUUCUUGCUCUCUGGUUAAGACUGUUCCAUAUAAUGAGACAGCAUGGCAGCAAACAGUGCAUCCCAGACUUCUGGGUCCCUUUUCUUACACAGGGUCCCCAUUGAGGUCUGCUCUCUACAGUAAGAGGCCAAAGGACUUUUUGAGAAUGUAGUGUUGCGGAAAACUGAGCCCCUCUCAUCUUUUGCUGCUCCCAUAAUCACUCUAAUCCCCUUAAUCCCAGCAACCUUCAUCCAAAAAAAAAUAAUAUAUAUAUGUAUAUAUAUAUAUAUAUAUAUAUAUAUGUGAACCCAGAAAAAAACUUAUUUACAAAGUUUAUACAAGUAUACACACCCAAUUUUCUAUGGGACGCGCUUUGCCACAGAGGAAAGAGGGUCGAGGCUCUGACAUGUCUACACAUCAAGUGCCAUACUGCUAAUGGAGGCGUAUGUAAACCAGUCUUUAGUGUUCUGCUAUAGAGCACAAAGGCUUGUCAUAUGGCUCCUGCAAUGACAGACUGCUCUUUCCUUUGGGAGCGAUGAUGUUAUAUCUACUCAGCCCAGAAGAAAUUUUUACUUGGGAUUGUUUUCUUAAAUACAUGUAUUUACAGUGCGGAUGAACUGCAGUUGCAUAUCAACUCCUCCACAUAAAGAAAAUAAAAAUGGUACUUAACAUUACUAGUAAGUUUCAUCUUCCAGCCCUGGGCUUGAGUACUGGGUAGAAAGGGAAGAGAGACUUCAAUGUGAAACCAAAAUGAACAGACAAAAAUUUUUUAAAAAGAAAAGGGGAAAAAAAUGAAGAAAUUACUCUGUUAAUUCCUUGGGCUGUGUCUAAAAGAUGAUAUUCUGAAUGGUCUCAUAGCAUAAGGCACUUCGCACAAAUAAGUAAUAAGCUCUUCAGGCUUAAAAAACGGAUGAGUAAUCACGGAGAAGUUGAAAUGCACUCAAGAGUCAGCUGUUGGAGAAUUUCAAAAUUGUAGACAAGCUUGUGUGUUCAUCAAGAUUCUUCUCUUUUUAGGGUUUCUCCCCUUCUCUUCUUUUCCUCCUUCCUUGUCCCUUUCCCCAGAAAACAUUUUUAAAAAACCAGCAGUUAGUGCAACUAAUGUUCAGUCAGCACACAGUGCAAACAAGUAGAACAAAAAAGGUAUUUUCCUUCUUUUCAGUUUUCUCUUCACCAGUUAAAAAAGAAAAAUGUCUGAGCUCUUUUAAGUCUUCAUAGUUCCAAAAUAAAAGAUGAAAAACCCACAAAGAGAAGACCACCCCCCAAAAAAGAUGUGUCACAGAUCCAAAGGAGCCUUCUGUAGUUUGUCAAAG
RNAcentral lists this long non-coding RNA (4435 nucleotides) under Heterocephalus glaber (naked mole-rat). RNAcentral's name for it is "lncRNA (ENSHGLG00000042482.1)". The record is from RNAcentral. Lineage: Eukaryota; Metazoa; Chordata; Mammalia; Rodentia; Bathyergidae.